UUCUGCAGCUUAAUGGUUAGCUGGGGGACAGCAUGGUGGGUUAGCACUUUUGCCUCACAGCAAGAAGGUCAUGGGAUCAAUUCCCACCUGUGGCCUUUCUGUGU
Long non-coding RNA from Thalassophryne amazonica, 104 nucleotides. RefSeq lists it as uncharacterized. Lineage: Eukaryota; Metazoa; Chordata; Actinopteri; Batrachoidiformes; Batrachoididae. The record is from RefSeq and is a predicted model, not a curated record. The transcript has 3 exons.